Molecule: transfer RNA, 64 nt
Filed under: Xylosandrus germanus
Lineage: Eukaryota; Metazoa; Arthropoda; Insecta; Coleoptera; Curculionidae
Description: tRNA-Gly
Source: RNAcentral
ACUUUAAUAAUAUAAAAAUUAUAUUUGACUUCCAAUCAAAAAAUCUGUUCCUACAGUUUAAGUA